ACGCACGCUGGCGGCAUGCCUAACACAUGCAAGUCGAACGAGACCUUCGGGUCUAGUGGCGCACGGGUGCGUAACGCGUGGGAACCUGCCCUUAGGUUCGGAAUAACUCCCCGAAAGGGGUGCUAAUACCGGAUAAUGUCUUCGGACCAAAGAUUUAUCGCCUUUGGAUGGGCCCGCGUUGGAUUAGCUAGUUGGUAGGGUAAAAGCCUACCAAGGCGACGAUCCAUAGCUGGUCUGAGAGGAUGAUCAGCCACACUGGGACUGAGACACGGCCCAGACUCCUACGGGAGGCAGCAGUGGGGAAUAUUGGACAAUGGGUGAAAGCCUGAUCCAGCAAUGCCGCGUGAGUGAUGAAGGCCUUAGGGUUGUAAAGCUCUUUUACCCGGGAUGAUAAUGACAGUACCGGGAGAAUAAGCUCCGGCUAACUCCGUG
This 432-nucleotide ribosomal RNA is filed under the name uncultured bacterium. RNAcentral describes it as "partial 16S ribosomal RNA". It matches the Rfam family "Bacterial small subunit ribosomal RNA", at positions 29 to 507 of the family's 1533-position model. The record is from RNAcentral.